CUACGGGCGGCUCCAGUGAGGAAUAUUGCACAAUGGGGGGAACCCUGAUGCAGCAACGCCGCGUGGAGGAUGACGCAUUUCGGUGUGUAAACUCCUUUUAUAUGUCAAGAAAAUGACGGUAGCAUAUGAAUAAGCACCGGCUAACUCCGUGCCAGCAGCCGCGGUAAUACGGAGGGUGCAAGCGUUACUCGGAAUCACUGGGCGGAAAGGACGCGUAGGCGGGUUGGAAAGUCAGGUGUGAAAUCCUACAGCUUAACUGUAGGACUGCACUUGAAACUUCUAAUCUAGAGUAUGGGAGAGGGAGAUGGAAUUAGUGGUGUAGGGGUAAAAUCCGUAGAUAUCACUAGGAAUACCUAAAGCGAAGGCGAUCUCCUGGAACAUUACUGACGCUAAGGCGUGAAAGCGUGGGGAGCAAACAGGAUUAGAUACCCCUGUAGUC
This 439-nucleotide ribosomal RNA is filed under the name uncultured bacterium. Its description in RNAcentral is "partial 16S ribosomal RNA". It matches the Rfam family "Bacterial small subunit ribosomal RNA", at positions 339 to 795 of the family's 1533-position model. The record is from RNAcentral.